RNAcentral lists this ribosomal RNA (284 nucleotides) under uncultured bacterium. RNAcentral's name for it is "partial 16S ribosomal RNA". It matches the Rfam family "Bacterial small subunit ribosomal RNA", at positions 55 to 339 of the family's 1533-position model. The record is from RNAcentral.
AUGCAAGUCGAGGGGCAGCGCGGGGCGGCAACGUCCUGGCGGCGACCGGCGGAAGGGUGCGUAACGCGUGAGCGACAUGCCCGUUGCCCGGGGACAACCGGUGGAAAUGCCGACUAAUCCCCGAUGGGAUACGAUGCUUCAUGGCAUUGUAUUGAAAGUUACGGCGGCGACGGAUUGGCUCGCGUCCGAUUAGCUGGUUGGGGGGUAACGGCCACCAAGCUACGAUCGGUAGGGGUUCUGAGAGGAAGGCCCCCACAAUGGGACUGAGACACGGCCCAUACUCC